Molecule: ribosomal RNA, 492 nt
Filed under: uncultured bacterium
Lineage: Bacteria
Description: partial 16S ribosomal RNA
Rfam family: Bacterial small subunit ribosomal RNA
Source: RNAcentral
AGUGAACGCUGGCGGUAGGCCUAACACAUGCAAGUCGAACGGCAGCACAGUAAGAGCUUGCUCUUACGGGUGGCGAGUGGCGGACGGGUGAGGAAUACAUCGGAAUCUACUUUUUCGUGGGGGAUAACGUAGGGAAACUUACGCUAAUACCGCAUACGACCUACGGGUGAAAGCAGGGGAUCUUCGGACCUUGCGCGAUUGAAUGAGCCGAUGUCGGAUUAGCUAGUUGGCGGGGUAAAGGCCCACCAAGGCGACGAUCCGUAGCUGGUCUGAGAGGAUGAUAGGCCACACUGGAACGGAGACACGGUCCAGAGUCCUACGGGAGGCAGCAGUGGGGAAUAUUGGACAAUGGGCGCAAGCCUGAUCCAGCCAUACCGCGUGGGUGAAGAAGGCCUUCGGGUUGUAAAGCCCUUUUGUUGGGAAAGAAAAGCAGCAGGUUAAUACCCCGCUGUUCUGACGGUACCCAAAGAAUAAGCACCGGCUAACUUCGUG